RNAcentral lists this ribosomal RNA (253 nucleotides) under uncultured bacterium. RNAcentral's name for it is "partial 16S ribosomal RNA". It matches the Rfam family "Bacterial small subunit ribosomal RNA", at positions 524 to 776 of the family's 1533-position model. The record is from RNAcentral.
GACGAACCGUGCGAACGUUGUUCGGAAUUACUGGGCGUAAAGGGCUCGUAGGUGGUCAACUAAGUCAUACGUGAAAUCCCUCGGCUUAACCGGGGAACUGCGCCUGAUACUGGUUGACUUGAGUUUGGGAGAGGGAUGCGGAAUUCCAGGUGUAGCGGUGAAAUGCGUAGAUAUCUGGAGGAACACCGGUGGCGAAGGCGGCAUCCUGGACCAACACUGACACUGAGGAGCGAAAGCCAGGGGAGCAAACGGG